ACCUGGUUGAUCUUGCCAGUAGUCAUAUGCUUGUCUCACAGAUUAAGCCAUGCAAGUGAAAGUACAUAUGUAAGUAAUAUAUUGAAACUGCGAACGGCUCAUUAAAACAGUUAUAAUCUACUUGAUGUUUUUAAUAUAAGGAUAACUACGGAAAAUCUGUAGCUAAUACUUGUGAAAAUACCUUUUGAUAUAUACAUAUGUAUGUAUCAUUAAGGUAUGUAUUUGUUAGAUAUAAGAAUAAAAUAAAUAUAAUUGAAUUAUAACAAAGAAGAAACACAUAAAAUAUGUGUAUUAUCAAUCGAGUAUCUGACCUAUCAGCUUUUGAUGUUAGGGUAUUGACCUAACAUGGCUAUGACGGGUAACGGGGAAUUAGAGUUCGAUUCCGGAGAGGGAGCCUGAGAAAUAGCUACCACAUCUAAGGAAGGCAGCAGGCGCGUAAAUUACCCAAUUCUAAAAAAGAGAGGUAGUGACAAGAAAUAACAAUACAAUAUCGAAAAAUGAUUUUGUAAUUGGAAUGAUAGGAAUUUACAAGGUUCCUAGAGAAACAAUUGGAGGGCAAGUCUGGUGCCAGCAGCCGCGGUAAUUCCAGCUCCAAUAGCAUAUAUUAAAAUUGUUGCAGUUAAAACGUUCGUAGUUGAAUAUUAAAGAAUCCGAUGUUUCAUUUAAACUGGUUUGGGAAAACCAAAUAUAUUAUAUAUUUUGCUUUGUUCAAAAUAAGGUUUUCUAAUAAAUUAUGUUUUUAUCAGAUAUGACAGAAUCUUUUUUAAAAUCUCUUCAAUAUGCUUUUAUUGCUUUUGAGAGGUUUUGUUACUUUGAGUAAAAUUAAGUGUUCAUAACAGACGGGUAGUCAUGAUUGAGUUCAUUGUGUUUGAAUACUACAGCAUGGAAUAACAAAUAUGAAUAAGCUAAUUAUUUUUUUUUUUUCAUAAUUUUUUUUGAUAUUCUUAUUAGCUUAGUUACGAUUAAUAGGAGUAGCUUUGGGGGCAUUCGUAUUCAGAUGUCAGAGGUGAAAUUCUAAGAUUUUCUGGAGACGGACUACUGCGAAAGCAUUUGCCUAAUCUAUUUCCAUUAAUCAAGAACGAAAGUUAAGGGAGUGAAGACGAUCAGAUACCGUCGUAAUCUUAACCAUAAACUAUACCGACUAGGUGUUGGAUGAAUAUAAAAAAUAUAUAAAUAUGUAGCAUUUCUUAGGGAAUGUUGAUUUUAUAUUAGAAUUGCUUCCUUCAGUACCUUAUGAGAAAUCAAAGUCUUUGGGUUCUGGGGCGAGUAUUCGCGCAAGCGAGAAAGUUAAAAGAAUUGACGGAAGGGCACCACCAGGCGUGGAGCUUGCGGCUUAAUUUGACUCAACACGGGAAAACUCACUAGUUUAAGACAAGAGUAGGAUUGACAGAUUAAUAGCUCUUUCUUGAUUUCUUGGAUGGUGAUGCAUGGCCGUUUUUAGUUCGUGAAUAUGAUUUGUCUGGUUAAUUCCGAUAACGAACGAGAUCUUAACCUGCUAAUUAGCGGUAAGUACACUAUAUUUUUAUUUGAAAUUGAAUAUAGGUAAUUAUACAUGUUUAUUCAGUGUUCAAAUUAGGAUAUUUUUUUUAUUAAAAUAUUCUUUUCCCUGUUCUACUAUAAUAAUUUGUUUUUUUUUACUCUAUUUCUCUCUUCUUUUAAGAAUGUACUUGCUUGAUUAAAUAAAGCUUCUUAGAGGAACAGUGUGUAUCUAACACAAGGAAGUUUAAGGCAACAACAGGUCUGUGAUGUCCUUAGAUAAACUAGGCUGCACGCGUGCUACAAUGAUAUAUAUAACAAGUUGUUAAAAAUGUACUUAUAAAUAAGUGUGUACAAUUUUUCCUGUACUGAAAAGUAUAGGUAAUCUUUAUCAGUAUAUAUCGUAAUUGGGAUAGAUUAUUGCAAUUAUUAAUCUUGAACGAGGAAUGCCUAGUAAGCAUGAUUCAUUAGAUUGUGCUGACUACGUCCCUGCCCUUUGUACACACCGCCCGUCGCUCCUACCGAUUGAAAGAUAUGAUAAAUUGUUUGGAUAUGAAUUAAAAUAAUGAAAUUUUAUAUUUCUGAUUUUUUCUAGAAGAACUGUAAAUCCUAUCUUUUAAAGGAAGGAGAAGUCGUAACAAGGUUUCCGUAGGUGAACCUGCGGAAGGAUCAUUA
This 2151-nucleotide ribosomal RNA is filed under the name Plasmodium falciparum NF135/5.C10. RNAcentral describes it as "18S ribosomal RNA". It matches the Rfam family "Eukaryotic small subunit ribosomal RNA". Lineage: Eukaryota; Apicomplexa; Aconoidasida; Haemosporida; Plasmodiidae. The record is from RNAcentral.